Leopardus geoffroyi (Geoffroy's cat) is the source of this 4738-nucleotide long non-coding RNA. RefSeq lists it as uncharacterized. The transcript is spliced from 3 exons. Lineage: Eukaryota; Metazoa; Chordata; Mammalia; Carnivora; Felidae. The record is from RefSeq and is a predicted model, not a curated record.
AAGGCGAAGAACGCGAGCGAACAUUCGCACCUGGUUCAAUGCGGACCCUUGUUCCCGGAGCGGAGUUGGGGGAUGGGGUGGAAGCGACUUUUUACCAGUAUACGGAACCCCGGAAACGUGCUGGGGCUAAGGAACUACUGACAGCCUCCUAUGGCCAUGCACUCCUCUGAGUUCUGGGGGCUGGCACUUACUGUACAGAACAGAAUGGACCUGUCCCUACCUUCAGAGACCUUCCAGCUUUGGGGAGAAGAUCAGCAAAUCAGGAGAGAAUUACAAAGCAGCAGCAAGCUCUUUGACAGAGGUCUUUCUUCUAAUUCUUCUGGCCAAUCAAGGUCCCAGCAAGCCGCUGACAGAGAGGGUGAGAGACGGGAAAAAGGCAAGAUUUAUCUAGGCCUUUGAUGUACCAGGAGCGUCUAGCGUGUCCUCAUCUACGGUAUCUCAUUUUAUCCUCUCUACCUCCCUGUGAACUAGAGCGUUUUAUACCCAUUUUGACACCUGAAGAAACCAAGGCUCCAGCAAUUAAGUAACUUGCCAGAGGAUGGAGUACAGAGCCAGGCUUCCAAUCCAGGGGUCAGUUUUCAGAGCUUUUGCUCUUCCUACAUCCUGGGACGAAGUGGAAUACACAGAAAACCUCUACUGGGAUCACAUGGCAAGUUUACUUCUCUCCGGGGAGACUCUAGCCCUUUUUCCCCAACCUACGAUAAAGAAAAGGCCGAGGGGAGACUGAAGAUCUUUUGUGAGAUCUGCUAGAACUUCAUGAAAAGGUGCUGACACCACAAAGCAAGAACUUGGAUCCCAUCCCUGCCUCCUGGGAUUAACCUAUAUUUCCUCAUUGGCCUGAGAUCCAAGAGACAAAGAGAGACAUGCCCCAGAGCACAGGCAGCAGAAAAGUUCGGGCGAGUUCUGGGAGACUCUGACCUGCCCCAGGCUAGGGAGGGCACUACCUGGAGAGUUCUGCCAGAUUCUUCUGAAGCUGUCACUUGGGCCUGGCCCCUCCUCCUUCCCCUCUCUCCUCCCCCACGUCUGACCCUGCAGAGAGGCACGUCCAGCACGAAUUCCUCCAAACCUCAGAUGCCUUUAGGAUUUUAAUGUGUCUAAAGAGUUCCCUUCCUUGACAAGCGGCAGCAUUAGUCAAGUUGAGUGGGUGGGAAGGGCAUUUCCCGUCAAUCCAGGGCCCCGGAGGAAGGGGAGACCCUCCUCCCUCCCAGCCUUGGCAAGCAGCUCCUGCAGAGCUCCACGUGGGUGGCAAUUGAGUCCAGAGGAGCCAAAGGGUUGCUUGCUGGGCAGGAAUGCCCACAGGCCGCACCUUCCUCAGCCCUCCUAGCACCUCAUCCUGUCUGGACCCGUGGAGGGGGUGGCGGUGCCAGGGAGUGGGUUCUCCUGUGUCUGACUCCAACAACCGGUUUAUUGUGAUGAUUCUAUUUGUGUUCCCUGUGUUCUGUUUGACUUGGCAGCUCAGAGGGGAAAGGGCAGCAGGUUCACUCCGGUUUGUACUGGGUGGUUCCUGCAGACACACCCAGGUAUUAAAGCAAGCGGCUUGCACUGGGGAUGCCUUUACCUGGGGGCCCUCAGUGUGCAAAAGCAAGGUGUGGGAAGUAUUUCCUCUUUAUGGGCCAGCCAGGUGUGGCUGGCAUUUUACCUAUUCCUGUAUUACUAACGUCAUUCAGAUUCAGGUCAAAGGGCAGGCUUACCAGACUCCCAUCGUCCUGGGAUCCAGGACCAGGGGAUGGUUGAUUAUGUCCAUUUGGGCUGGAUAACCCUGGAUACCUAGUACCCAUGGGCACCAUAACUCCUGGGUCUAAAACAAAAAUCCAAAGCCUGACAAUUGGGUUCUACUUUGAAAUCUAGACUCUCCUAAACCGUCCAAACUAAGGACUCUUCUCAGACAAGGUGAUAACAUUCAAGGAGAACAGACUUCAAGGUCAAAUACUUAGUCUAGAACUCUGGAUUUGCCCGCUUAUUUACCUGAGCCUUUAUCUAGUACUGAAAUCUCUAGCACGUGGGAAAUAGCAGCCAACACUUAGGCUACAAGGUGCCAGGCGUUGUUCUAAGCGUUUUUAUGAAAACUCGUUUAGGCUUCAAAACAACCUAAAGAGGUGAGUAGGUGAGUACUGUUAUCAUCAUCUUCUUUUACAGACGAGGCACAGAGGCACAGAGAGGGGAAGGAAAUUGCCAGAGGUCACCGGCUAAUAGGCAACAGUGCCUUGAUUCCACAGCAGGUAGUCCGGCUCUGGAACCCAACCCACGUGCUUAACCGCUAUGUGGUAGAGACGUUCCCAGAGGGCCCACACUGUGUCAGGGGUUAGAGAUGUCCUGGAGAGCAGACACAGACGCAGCCCCCAGUCCCUACCCUGUCAGCGUGACACUUAGGAGGCUCCCGAGUCAACUUGAAAGGGCCUUUCUAUCAAGCCUAGAAACUACCCUCGCCCUUCAUCCUUUACUCGAGGAAAGACAGGCAUUUCCUAGGUGAAGGUGACAGUCAUGGUCACCCAGCCAGGUCAGUAAAAGGAAGUGCACCUUCAGAAGUGCACUGGCUUCCACCGGAUCCUUACCUGCCCCGGGCACAAGAGCAAAACCUUGCACAAUUACACUCAGGUUCUGUCAGGAAAGAGCGCUCAACUAGGUAGGCAGGCGUGUGCCUCUCUCCACUCCUUUGCACACUGAGGGGUGGCAGAGCCAGGUGAGGGGGCUGAGUCAUGUCCAGCAGGCAAGGCCACAGAGCCCUUCCCUGAAGAAAGUGGCCCUGACCUAGACAGCCAGGUGAUGAAACCAUUUCCUCUACCAGAGAGGCCCGACCACAUGGCUGCAGGGCCUGGCAAGGCCACAGGCUUUGUUCUCCAAGGCCACUCCCUACCGGAUGUGAUAAUGUGCACUGUGGACUUGAGACACUUAACAAUUAUUUCUUCAAUGGAGACGAGGUGUAGAUAAUUACCGUUGCCCACAGUUAUUGAGCUCUUAGCGUGCUUUAUGUGGCUGAUAUGGAUUCAUUUAUUUAAUCCUUAAAACAACUCUAUGAAGUAGGUUCUGUUAUUAUCUCCACUUGCUGGAUGAAAAAUGGAGGCUCAGAGAAGUUAGCUUCUCCAAGUCUCGACGGGCGAUACCUGAGAUUCAUACCCAGGAAUGGCUGACUUCCGAGAGUGGGCUCUCUUAACUAUCUAAAGCAAAGUGAGGACCCGUCCUCUGAAUCAGUGGGGACAUGGGGACAGGAAGAAGUCUUGAGACAUUUCCAUAUUGGACUGGGGGGUUCAAGGCCCCCAAAUCCAGUUUACUGGGGAUCCUUGGGUCCUCCAGAAGUGUGAUCUGAUGUUGGCCCCCAGAUUCUGACUGGCCACUCUAGAGCAACAUGGGCCAGAGGUGGUUCCAAUAAUUCCCUCAGGCUAACUAGAUCCCAUAUAAAAGCCUAAAACUGGGCUGGAACCUUGCUGACCCUCCAAGCAUAGAGCCGGAUGGAGGCAGAGACUACCUAAGUACAAAACUGUGAGUGUCAUAUUUCUGGGUAUUUGCGCAGACAGGGCUUGGGUUCUGUGCUAUGACUGGAAGUGAGACUUGUCCAUCUGGGCUUGGGAUCUGUGCUGUGACUAGGAUGGCAUCAUACAAGGCCAAAGCCAAAACCCUCCAGGCACCUUUCUAUUCCUGGCCCUUUUAUAGCACCUCAUUUCCCUCCACCUCCUCCCAAUAACACGUAAACACACCUUGGUAUUAUUUAAUAACACCGGCCCUGGAGCCAGACUCCUUGGGUUUUAAUCCUAGCUCUGCCACUUACUUGCAAAGUAUUUAUCUUCCAAAUUGUCUUAGCUCCCUGUACCUCAGUUUCCUUGUCUGAAAACGGGGAUGACAAUAGUCCCUUCCUCAACAGCGCUGUUAAGAGGUCAAAAAGAGAAUGCAUGGGAUGCGUAUGGUAAAUGCUCAGUACAUGUUAGGCAUUGUUAUUGUUGCAGUAGUUUCUUCCCUCUUUGCGUCCUUUUUUCUCUGGAUAUGAGAAAAUCUUGUUGAAAACUGGCUGUAAGCUAUCUCCAACUGGGUUACUGUUUGCAUUCCUCCUCUCAUAUCCUCCGACUGUCAAUCCUUAUGUAGUCCUUCCUGAAGAGAUUCAGGAGUGGGUGCUCCUAGAAUGGGGAAGAAAUCCCAUUAGAUUAGGUCAGGGAUCUUUGGGUAAUUCCUUAAAGCCAAUUUUCUUGACGAUUUUAAUGGGUCCACUUGGGAAGGCGGCCAAAGCUAUUAAUUUGUAACAGCUGCUGAGAAAUCACUGUCAACACCUCGGUAUAGAUCCUCUCUGUGGGGCACAGGAGUUAGGUCGAAAGUCAUGAAAGCUAAAAUAAUUAAUGAGCAACAGCAAUGUGGAGGAUCGCUAAAUCCUAUUUGUGAGCUAAAAUGCUAAAGAUUUAAUUAAUUUAAUUCAAUCGUAAAUUAAAGGGCAAAACAAAUAGCCCUUUAAUAAAAACACCCCCCCCCCCUUGGCUGAGUCCCCCCGGAGACUCUCACCUCCUCUUCUUAGACUAUCAUCUCAGUCUGAUGACAAACCAUGUCUUAAUAGAUUUAACUUCUGUUUGACUUCUAACCUAAGAGCAGUACAAACCCACGUGCCUGCUAAAUAUAAGCCAAUGAUGACACGGGCCUAGGAUAGAAAGUGAGCGACCCGGUGGGUGAGUUAAUGCCACAAAGGAGAGUCAGGGUGAGGGGGUACCUUAUCUCACAUCUGAACAAAGGAGUAUAUUUCCUGUGAAGUCUGAUGAGAAAA